AGUUGCCAUGGAGAACAAAUGCACCUGAGCCCACAACACACAAGUUUUAAGGAGACGACCAGUGUUUUGACACUUCAUACUCCUGUGGACAACCAUCAGCUGAACGACACGCUGCACACUCUCAAAUUUCAAAAAAUCAUGGGCUGCAACACAAGUAGGGGGGCCACAGUGGUUGACCCUUCUGAAAAGCCAGAGGACAGGCCGAAAACUGCCACGUCCACCAAGCAGGCGCCUGCAGAGGAAACGAAUGGAACAACAGAAAAAGAAAAAGACGAAAAAACGAAGAGUUCCAGCUGAGCGCCACCUUUACACCGUACCUAACUCUUCUUCUUAUUGGCCUGUCCAAGGGUGAAGGAGGACCUGUCAGCAGGAUGAGGCGACGCUGCACUACUGUCCAUCAUUGUCUGUCAUCUGGGCCAGGCACACAUAAUCAAAUACGCACACUUCUGAAGAAAUCUGACUCCUAUUGUCAAAGUCUAGAAACUAUUUUGUGAUAAAUAUAUUGUUUGGAGUAUUACA
Molecule: long non-coding RNA, 519 nt
Organism: Oreochromis aureus
Lineage: Eukaryota; Metazoa; Chordata; Actinopteri; Cichliformes; Cichlidae
Exons: 2
Source: RefSeq, a predicted model, not a curated record